This 411-nucleotide ribosomal RNA is filed under the name uncultured prokaryote. RNAcentral's name for it is "bacterial SSU rRNA". It matches the Rfam family "Bacterial small subunit ribosomal RNA", at positions 505 to 918 of the family's 1533-position model. The record is from RNAcentral.
GUGCCAGCAGCCGCGGUAAUACGGAGGGUGCGAGCGUUGUCCGGAAUCAUUGGGUGUAAAGGGUGCGUAGGCGGGCUGCUAAGUCUGGGGUGAAAUCCUGCCGCUUAACGGUAGAAUGGCCCCCGAUACUGGCAGUCUUGAGUACAGAAGAGGUCGGUGGAAUUCGUAGUGUAGCGGUGAAAUGCAUAGAUAUUACGAAGAACACCAGUGGCGAAGGCGGCCGGCUGGUCUGUAACUGACGCUGAGGCACGAAAGCGUGGGGAGCGAACAGGAUUAGAUACCCUGGUAGUCCACGCUGUAAACGAUGUAUGCUAGGUGUCGGCCUUUCGGGGUCGGUGCUGCAGUUAACGCAGUAAGCAUACCACCUGGGGAGUACGUCGGCAACGAUGAAACUCAAAGGAAUUGACGGGG